Molecule: microRNA precursor, 76 nt
Filed under: Myotis brandtii (Brandt's bat)
Lineage: Eukaryota; Metazoa; Chordata; Mammalia; Chiroptera; Vespertilionidae
Description: mir-9229 microRNA precursor family
Rfam family: mir-9229 microRNA precursor family
Source: Rfam by way of RNAcentral
GAGACACCCUUACGGGGCAGGACUUGCUUCAGUGGGGCUUUGGUGCUCACUGAGUCUGCCCCUUGAGUGUGUUGCU